UGGGGAAUAUUGGACAGUGGGCGGAAGCCUGAUCCAGCAACGCCGCGUGGAGGAUGAAGGUCUUCGGGUUGUAAACUCCUUUCAGCAGGAACGAAAUUGACGGUACCUGCAGAAGAAGCCCCGGCCAACUACGUGCCAGCAGCCGCGGUAAUACGUAGGGGGCUAGCGUUGUCCGGAAUUAUUGGGCGUAAAGAGCUCGUAGGCGGCUUGGCAAGUCGGGUGUGAAAACUUCAGGCUCAACCUGGAGGUGCCACUCGAUACUGCUAUGGCUAGAGUCCGGUAGGGGACCACGGAAUUCCUGGUGUAGCGGUGAAAUGCGCAGAUAUCAGGAGGAACACCGGUGGCGAAGGCGGUGGUCUGGGCCGGCACUGACGCUGAGGAGCGAAAGCGUGGGUAGCAAA
RNAcentral lists this ribosomal RNA (401 nucleotides) under uncultured bacterium. RNAcentral's name for it is "bacterial SSU rRNA". It matches the Rfam family "Bacterial small subunit ribosomal RNA", at positions 355 to 772 of the family's 1533-position model. The record is from RNAcentral.